Molecule: ribosomal RNA, 164 nt
Filed under: Memecylon bakossiense
Lineage: Eukaryota; Viridiplantae; Streptophyta; Magnoliopsida; Myrtales; Melastomataceae
Description: 5.8S ribosomal RNA
Rfam family: 5.8S ribosomal RNA
About the family: 5.8S ribosomal RNA (5.8S rRNA) is a component of the large subunit of the eukaryotic ribosome. It is transcribed by RNA polymerase I as part of the 45S precursor that also contains 18S and 28S rRNA. Functionally, it is thought that 5.8S rRNA may be involved in ribosome translocation.
Source: RNAcentral
AAAAAUGACUCUCGGCAACGGAUAUCUCGGCUCUUGCAUCGAUGAAGAACGUAGCGAAAUGCGAUACUUGGUGUGAAUUGCAGAAUCCCGUGAACCAUCGAGUCUUUGAACGCAAGUUGCGCCCAAAGCCAUUUGGUUGAGGGCACGCCYGCCUGGGUGUCGUG